RNAcentral lists this ribosomal RNA (348 nucleotides) under uncultured bacterium. RNAcentral's name for it is "bacterial SSU rRNA". It matches the Rfam family "Bacterial small subunit ribosomal RNA", at positions 568 to 898 of the family's 1533-position model. The record is from RNAcentral.
UAUGUAGGCGGUCGAUUUCUCUUAUGUGGUUAAAUCUUAAGGUUUUAUCCUUAUUUAAAGUCAUGUGAGGGGCCGACUUGUGUUGUCGAUAGGUUUGAUCAAGGCUCUGUGUAGGGGUAAUAUCCAUAGAAACAGUGGUCGAAGGCCAACUUGCGCAGGCAUCUUUCUAGCUUCAACAGACGCUGAGGGUACGGAAGCUUAGGGCGCAAACGGGAUUAGAUACCCCGGUAGUCUUUGCCGUCAACGAUGAACGUCCGGGUUAAACAGGCAAAUAGCUUGGGUAGAUUUUAGCCGAGAUGAGUUAACACGUCAAACGUUCCACCUGGGGUCUACGACCGCAAGGUUAAA